Long non-coding RNA from Pseudophryne corroboree (corroboree frog), 582 nucleotides. RefSeq lists it as uncharacterized. The transcript is spliced from 5 exons. NCBI's taxonomy places the organism in Eukaryota, Metazoa, Chordata, Amphibia, Anura, Myobatrachidae. The record is from RefSeq and is a predicted model, not a curated record.
UCUACAGACUUCUCGGCUGGUGGCCGUGACGGAGUUUGGUCUGCAUGACGCAGGGUCUUCUGUCCUGGCAGCUUAGACAUGCAGGGGACGGGGGCGACACCAAUGGACUGCGGAUACAGAGUAAGGAUUACACAGUAGUAAGGAAGACAUCCAGUGAGUGUGAGACACCCAGCAGCCGUCCCUAUGUGUCAGUAGGACUGAGAAGGACACAGAGCCCCAUUACGGUGCCUCCAUCUCACUCACUGAUGAGAGACACAGUGACAAGAAGAUCCUGGAACUCACCAACAAGAUCAUUCAGCUGCUGACUGGAGAGGAGGGGGAGUAUAUAGAGGAACACAGGGGUCUGUACAACGACGUGAUAAUGGAGAAUCACCCGCCCACAUCACUGGAUGGGCCCAGUAACAGAGAUACCCCAGAGAGAUGUCCCCGUCCUCUGUAUUCCCAGGACUGUACAGAGGAGAAUCACAGGAUCCCACAGGAGGAUCAGGUACAACGUCUGUUUGAUAUUAAAACAGAAGAUAUAGAGGGAGAAGAAGAGACGUAUGUGACUGAUAUAAAGGCAGAAGAUAUAGAGGGAGAAGA